This 460-nucleotide ribosomal RNA is filed under the name uncultured bacterium. Its description in RNAcentral is "partial 16S ribosomal RNA". It matches the Rfam family "Bacterial small subunit ribosomal RNA", at positions 338 to 795 of the family's 1533-position model. The record is from RNAcentral.
CCUACGGGAGGCAGCAGUGAGGAAUAUUGGUCAAUGGGCGGAAGCCUGAACCAGCCAAGUAGCGUGCAGGAUGACGGCCCUACGGGUUGUAAACUGCUUUUAUACGGGAAUAACGCGCCUUACGUGUAGGGCUUUGCAUGGACCGUAUGAAUAAGGACCGGCCAAUUCCGUGCCAGCAGCCGCGGUUAUCCGGAGGGUCCGGGCGUUAUCCGGAUUUAUUGGGUUUAAAGGGAGCGUAGGCCGCAAGCCAAGCGCGCCGUGAAAUGUCCGGGCUCAACCCGGGCAUUGCAGCGCGAACUGGCGUGCUUGAGUCCGCGGAAGGCAGGCGGAAUUCGUGGUGUAGCGGUGAAAUGCUUAGAUAUGACGAAGAACCCCGAUGGCGAAGGCAGCUUGCUGGAGCGGAACUGACGCUGAGGCUCGAAAGCGCGGGUAUCGAACAGGAUUAGUUACCCUGGUAGUC